UACGUGGGGAGCAAGCGUUGUUCGGAUUUACUGGGCGUAAAGGGCGCGUAGGCGGCGCAACAAGUCACUUGUGAAAUCUCCGGGCUUAACCCGGAGCGGCCAAGUGAUACUGUCGUGCUAGAGUGCGGAAGGGGCUACUGGAAUUCUCGGUGUAGCGGUGAAAUGCGUAGAUAUCGAGAGGAACACCUGCGGCGAAGGCGGGUAGCUGGGCCGACACUGACGCUGAUGCGCGAAAGCGUGGGGAGCAAACAGG
This 253-nucleotide ribosomal RNA is filed under the name uncultured bacterium. Its description in RNAcentral is "partial 16S ribosomal RNA". It matches the Rfam family "Bacterial small subunit ribosomal RNA", at positions 524 to 776 of the family's 1533-position model. The record is from RNAcentral.